Long non-coding RNA from Sus scrofa (pig), 2982 nucleotides. RefSeq lists it as uncharacterized. The record is from RefSeq and is a predicted model, not a curated record. Lineage: Eukaryota; Metazoa; Chordata; Mammalia; Artiodactyla; Suidae.
CUAUGGUGGUUCUAUUUUGGUAUGCUACUAAUUAAGUUCUUUAUUUUGUACUACAAACUUGAGACACUAAAUUUAGACCACUUUACAUAAUUUUCUUUGUAUACAAACACUUGUUUUGUAAUUUCCCAAUUCAGAUUAUUUAAAUUGCUGUUCUUCAAGCAACUACACACCUUUUUUCCAAUUUUUACUUGUUAAUAGCAACUAUAAAACAAUGAAUGAGUUAAGUAAUAUUUGAAGAAUUAGUCUCAAGUUAUCUUGAAGGUACAAGCACUUGCUAUUCUCAUUUCUAAUAUAAAGAGUUUAUACCUUUUUUUGGUAUUGUUUUUCAGCUUUGAUUCCUGAGUCCCUUGUUAAUAUUUAUAUUGGAACACUUGAAUUGUCUUCAGAAUCAACCCUAUCUACUUCUCUCCUGUGUUGAAAAAACAGUGAUAUUCACAUUUUCCUAUUAAUAGUUUUAUGUAUCAUACAUCAUUAAAUUUAAUGCCCAUUUCUUUCCUGAUAUGUAUCUAAAUCAUCUGAGUGGGCCCCCUUUCUACAUUAGCUUCUCAUCCUGAUAUUUACACUUUCAUGAUUCAGUAGCUGAUUUUGAAUGGGAAAUUGGUUAGACCAAUCAGGAGAACUUUCAGUGACUUGAGAUUACCUUUGCAUAUACAGAGCAGGAUGCCAAGACCAAAGCAGAGAGAGGUUAAAAAUCCUGUGUAAGCAUCUUAGUCCCUGACCCUUCCUGCACUAUGCUGUUCUCUAUCGAUUUUAGUCUGUUUGUUUUUUGAUGAGCAGAGCACAGUUCACCCUGUGAACUUUUCACAUGAAUAUUAUGCAGGAAUUAGGUGCAGGCAUGUGAGAGAACAGCAGAAGGAGAUCAGCUUGGAGUGUGGGUAUGCCUUUAAAUAAAUGCCCAUCAGAAGUCUGAAUGAAGUCCUGAGGGAAUCCAAGGUACCAACCCUCAGAUUGGUUCACCACAAACUCUGCCCAUGAAGCACAUGGGGUCGAAUCAGAGCUGCAGCUGCAGGCCAACACCACAGCCACAGCAAUGCCAUAUUGAAGCCACAUCUGUGAUCUGCAUCACAUCUUGCAGAAUGCUGGAUCCUUAACCCACUGAGUGAGGCCAGAGAUCAAACCUGCAUCCUCAUGGACACUAUGUCAGGUUCUUAACCUGCUAAGCCAUAAGGCGAACUCCAUACACUUUUAAUUUAAACAGCACUCUUGAAGACAUUUGUAUUCAUUAUAUACAAUCCUAUAGAAGAGUCAUGCAGAAAUUUUCAUCCACAAUUUCAGGAAGAAAAAAAUGGGGGGGCUGUUUUCUUCACACUUAAAACAAACAAACAAACAAACAAACAAACAAACAAACCCCCCCCUAUAUUGUGAAUGGUUCUGUGAGCAGAAGAGGAGAGAAUUUUUAGCCCAGUAUAUGAGAAAAUGCUAAAGGUCAUUCUUCAAGUACUAAUCAAGUUGUCUUUGAUCAUCCUGGGAGUGCUCUGUUUUUAAUAUACCUGUAGCAUUUUUUAUUGAUUGCCUUCAUUCUCAAUGCAUUGAAUUUUAUUAUUUGCUUUUUUAGGGAUAUGUGACUUAUUUAAAAUCCAAAUUGUUGGAGUGCCCAUAUAAUGAUUUUGACAGAGACUCUCAAAAAGUAUUUGUCAGCUCUUAUUAUUUCUUUAAUGUAGUCUCAUAAAUUUACCACUCAAAUGUUCUGUUCAAAUGGGGAAUUUCAUAUAUUAACUUUUUUUUUUUUUUUUUUUUUUGCCUUUUCAGGGCCACACCUGCGUCAUAUGGAAGUUUCCAGGCUAGGAGUGUAAUCAAAGAUACAGCUGCCAGUCUACACCACAGCCACAGCAACACAGGAUCAGAGUCAUGUCUGCAACCUACACCAUAGCUCCCAGCAAUGCCAAAUCCUUAACCCACUGAGUGAGGCCAGGGAUUGAACUUGCAUCCUCAUGGUUACUAGUUGGAUCGGUUACCACUGAGCCACAAAGGGAAUUCCAAUAUAUCAACAAUUUUUAAAGUUGCAAUACCAGAUGAGCAUGAAAUACCCUUAUAUUAACAGUGCAAUAGGGCUGUAAUCACUAGAUUAUACAGGAUCCUUAUACACAACCUGGUAAAAUUAUAGUAAUUUCUCCUGCAAAAUCCACUGAUAAUUAAAUUAAUUCCAAGAAUAACAAUGACUAAAGGUCAUUUUUCCUGGAUAACAGAGAAUCUAUAAGAGUCUAUAAGAGUCUUUAUUGUAGCAUUCUUUUGGAACAGUAAAACAAAAAAAUGCAUAAAAUAUAUGAAUAAAAAAAAGGCUUGCAAUCAAAAGAAAACCACACAAACAUAUAUACACAUGCAUUAAAAUAGGGGAUAGAUACAUAACUUAAGUCUAAACAUAAAUAAUGAAACACCAGGCAAGCAACUGAAAUAUGCAUAGCUUGAUCCCAUUUCAAUUUUAAAAGCUGCAGUAUACACAUUAGACAAAUAAACUUUGGAAAUGUAUACACAGAACACUUAUUGAUCUUUUUUUCUGGAGUCAGGGUUACAGGAUGCUGUCAUUUUUGAAAUUAUGGUCUUCAAUAUGGAUUUUGUUUUAGUAGAUGUCUUAGUUUGACAGGGCUGCCAUAACAAAGUACCACAUAUUGGCUGGUUUAACAAUAGAACAAUUAUGAAGGCUACAAGUCUAAGAUCAAGGCGUCUGCAGGGUCGGUUUCAUCCUAGGCCUCUUUCCUAGGCUUGUAGAUAGCUGUCUUUUCCAUUUGUCCCAACAAGACUUUCCCUCUGUGUGUGUCUGUUUCCUAAUUUCCUCUCUUUAUGAGGACACCAGUCAUAUCAGAUGAAAGCAUAUAGUAAUAACCUCACUUUAACUUAGUUACCCUUUACAGAUCCUUAUCCAAAUACACUCACAUUUUGAGGUUCUGAGGGUUAGGACUUAAACAUAUGAAUUUUGGAGCAACAAUUUUCAGUCCAUAACAGUACAUAAUACUAUAGUGAUUAAAUAAAAAUGUGUCAUUAUGA